UGGGGAAUAUUGCACAAUGGGGGAAACCCUGAUGCAGCGACGCCGCGUGGGUGAAGAAGUUUUUCGGAAUGUAAAGCCCUAUCAGCAGGGAAGAUAAUGACGGUACCUGACUAAGAAGCCCCGGCUAACUACGUGCCAGCAGCCGCGGUAAUACGUAGGGGGCAAGCGUUAUCCGGAUUUACUGGGUGUAAAGGGAGCGUAGACGGAAUAGCAAGUCUGAAGUGAAAUCAUAGGGCUCAACCCUGUAAUUGCUUUGGAAACUGUUGAUCUUGAGUACCGGAGGGGCAGGCGGAAUUCCUGGUGUAGCGGUGAAAUGCGUAGAUAUCAGGAAGAACACCGGUGGCGAAGGCGGCCUGCUGGACGGCAACUGACGUUGAGGCUCGAAAGCGUGGGGAGCAAACAGGAUUAGAUACCCUGGUAGU
This 422-nucleotide ribosomal RNA is filed under the name uncultured Blautia sp. RNAcentral's name for it is "bacterial SSU rRNA". It matches the Rfam family "Bacterial small subunit ribosomal RNA", at positions 355 to 794 of the family's 1533-position model. Lineage: Bacteria; Bacillati; Bacillota; Clostridia; Lachnospirales; Lachnospiraceae. The record is from RNAcentral.